Drosophila miranda is the source of this 147-nucleotide long non-coding RNA. RefSeq lists it as uncharacterized. Lineage: Eukaryota; Metazoa; Arthropoda; Insecta; Diptera; Drosophilidae. The record is from RefSeq and is a predicted model, not a curated record. The transcript has 2 exons.
CUCUCUCUCUGUAGGAGAUCAAGGGGACAGGAACAUAAGAUUUUCCCGGAAUUUUUGAUAAGCGGCAAGUUUUUAUUUUCUUAAUGAAUCUGUCAGUGUUCUGCUCAAGACUCGAGACGCACAAGUAAAAUGUCCCAAAAGAACCUA